RNAcentral lists this ribosomal RNA (502 nucleotides) under uncultured bacterium. Its description in RNAcentral is "partial 16S ribosomal RNA". It matches the Rfam family "Bacterial small subunit ribosomal RNA", at positions 28 to 523 of the family's 1533-position model. The record is from RNAcentral.
GAUGAACGCUAGCGGCAGGCCUAACACAUGCAAGUCGAGGGGCAGCACAGAAACAGCAAUGUUUUGGUGGCGACCGGCGGACGGGUGCGUAACGCGUAUGCAACCUACCUUUAACAGGGGGAGAACGGAGGGAAAUUUCCACUAAUACCCCAUAACAUCGAUCAAGGCAUCUUGAUUGGUUGAAAACUCCGGUGGUUAAAGAUGGGCAUGCGUUGUAUUAGGUAGUUGGUGAGGUAUUGGCUCACCAAGCCUACGAUACAGAGGGGGACUGAGAGGUUAGCCCCCCACACUGGUACUGAGACACGGACCAGACUCCUACGGGAGGCAGCAGUGAGGAAUAUUGGUCAAUGGGGGCAACCCUGAACCAGCCAUGCCGCGUGCAGGAAGACGGCUCUAUGAGUUGUAAACUGCUUUUAAACAGGGAUAAAGCACAGUAUGUAUACUGUGUUGAAGGUACUGUAAGAAUAAGGAUCGGCUAACUCCGUGCCAGCCGCCGCAGUAA